AACUAUAUUAUGAAAUACAUAAAAAAAAAAAAAUCAUUGCCUCAUCCAAUGAUCUAUUGAGCCAUGAAAAAGAUUCAACAAAUGAAAGAUGCUAUUACCUUGGUAUCAAGAGUAUUAGUAGGUAGUUAAUACAACUCUAGUUUCUGAUUGAGUCAAUUUGAUGCUCUGUACUCUUUUUUGUUCAAGUUAGUUUCCUUCUUAUCCAAGUCACCUCCUUCGGUCCAC
RNAcentral lists this long non-coding RNA (225 nucleotides) under Elaeis guineensis (African oil palm). Its description in RNAcentral is "long non-coding RNA (EGUI_LNC037034)". Lineage: Eukaryota; Viridiplantae; Streptophyta; Magnoliopsida; Arecales; Arecaceae. The record is from RNAcentral.